Molecule: ribosomal RNA, 406 nt
Filed under: Siminovitchia fortis
Lineage: Bacteria; Bacillati; Bacillota; Bacilli; Caryophanales; Bacillaceae
Description: bacterial SSU rRNA
Rfam family: Bacterial small subunit ribosomal RNA
Source: RNAcentral
CCCGCGGCGCAUUAGCUAGUUGGUGGGGUAACGGCCUACCAAGGCGACGAUGCGUAGCCGACCUGAGAGGGUGAUCGGCCACACUGGGACUGAGACACGGCCCAGACUCCUACGGGAGGCAGCAGUAGGGAAUCUUCCGCAAUGGACGAAAGUCUGACGGAGCAACGCCGCGUGAGUGAUGAAGGCCUUCGGGUCGUAAAACUCUGUUAUCAGGGAAGAAUAAGCAUUGGUUAACUGCCAGUGCCUUGACGGUACCUGACCAGAAAGCCACGGCUAACUACGUGCCAGCAGCCGCGGUAAUACGUAGGUGGCAAGCGUUGUCCGGAAUUAUUGGGCGUAAAGCGCGCGCAGGCGGCUUCUUAAGUCUGAUGUGAAAGCCCACGGCUCAACCGUGGAGGGUCAUUGG